Long non-coding RNA from Tachysurus fulvidraco (yellow catfish), 2978 nucleotides. RefSeq lists it as uncharacterized. The transcript has 3 exons. Lineage: Eukaryota; Metazoa; Chordata; Actinopteri; Siluriformes; Bagridae. The record is from RefSeq and is a predicted model, not a curated record.
CAUUCACACAACACAGUUUGCUUGAAACUCUGACAUUAUGUUUAGGGCUGGGCUACAUCUAAACUUCAUGCAAAAUCUAAUUAAAUCCAACCACACUGACCCCGCUUCUCCGCCUCACCACAGACAUUCUAUAAAUUUAGGGUGAAAGACAUAGGGGUUAGAUCUAGGUCCAGGUCCAGGACCAGGACUGAUCAAAAGUUCACUAUUGUGUAUUAUGGGAGGAAUAAUAGUGAAAAUACACAAAGCUCUCUGGUUAGUCUCAAUACUAUCACUGAGUAACAUUAAUGGAAAUGAUUUCUUAGAAGUGCUGUGCGUGUGUGCGUGUGUGUGUGUGUGUGUGUGUGUGUGUCUGUACUGCGCUAUGAGCAAAAUCAACAAGUCCAGAGAUCUGUGCUCCAGACUCCAAAAUGAACAGUGAUUUUCUCCUCGGUUCAACAGAUGCCUGUAUGAAAUCGAUUCAUGAAGAAAAGAAAGGAAGACUAUUUAUUUCGGCAUUCGAUAUUUGCAUUGUUUAAUGGCUUCAUGUUAUGUGUAUAAGAAAUGUGUUAAAUUAUAGCACAAAAGUCCCCAUUUGAUGGUAACAGCUUUGGUGUUUUGACAGUUGGAAACAGAAUCCCAUCACACCUCCUAGGCAGUACUGUGUAUAUAUGUGUGUCUGUGUGUGUGUGUGUGUGUGUGUGUGUGUGUGUGUGUGUGUGUGUGUGUGUGUGUGUGUGUAAUGGUCAGUAAAAGACAGCAUCAUAAAUCUGCCACUAAAGGCAUUAAAGUCAGCUUCCCCCAAGUGGAUAAACACACACACAGCCACGGUGUAUAUAUACACAUUCAAACACAUUAAAAGUGCAUCAUGAGGCAGUGAGGAACAAAAUAUUUUAUUUAAUGGUGAAUGCAGAAAACUACAAAUAAAACAUACAUGUAAGCACCUGGCUGCAGAUAUAUUAGGUUCAUAGAUGCGUUUAAAAAACUUUCAAAUCAAUGUAAAAGGAGGGAUAGUUUCCUAGAUACCCUAUAUAUACCCUAUGUACAUGCAUGCUGCAAUUCAGCUUUUGUUUUGGCUGGUUUGUAUUAUUGCAUCGAAGAAAGAGUCUCUGUGAAACCUCUCUUUCACAUUCGUUUCAGAAAGCACACUGUACGGAUGAUACUGUACAAAUGUUUAUUAGAACUCAAACUAUGCACCCAAAACCUGCAUGCUGCAAAAAAGCAGACACAUUUCCUGAUUUUGCCAAGUGACACUAUUUGUGUCAACCGUUAUCAUCUAGGCUAAAGAAUUUGGACAUCAACCACUCCGGUGCAUUGUGGGAUUUGGGGAGCAUGUUGCAGGUCAUAUCCUAAUGCAACGUUCACCCAAUCACCCAAUUUUAUUGAGAGCUGUGACGUCUAACAACAUAGUGUGUGUGUGUCCAGAGACAAGACAAAGUUAAGAAACAUAUAACUUUACGCAAAUGUGGUGUAACUUGACCAGGUGACUACUAAUAAGAGUGAAGGCAGUUGACACUGCAGAUUGUUUCAUUUUAGCAGGAAGAAAACUAGUCAUGUGGAAUAUUAUUACCAUGGCAACCAGUAACAGAAAUUCGUACUGGUGAGGUCAUAUUACGUGUGGCGACUUGCAGCAAAAAAACAGUGUAUGUGUGAACGUAGCUUAAGUCCUCAAACAUCUCUGGAGGACUUUUUCAUAGGACUCUGAUCAUCUUCAUCCUAUGAUGAAACAUUUUUAUCCUGAUGUGUAGAAAGAAUGAUCCCAUUUCCAACCACAGAGCACGAGGGCUCAUUAAAUGAUUUGAAGAGGAUGAAAAUGAAAAUGAAAUCACAUACUGUGGCCUUCACUCCAACUCACCAAAUAUCAACUCCACUCAUCAUUAACUAUGGGAAUAUCUUUUAAAGGACUGAGACUGAGAUGCACUGACGAACGGGGUGAGCGUACAUCUAGCGCACAUUCGAAUGAAAAUCACAAAGAAAAUCACAAUACGAGAAUACAAAAAUAAUAAUAAUCAUAUACAGAGAGAUUAACAUAAGCCAACUAUGAAUCCUAUAGUUCAACAGCAGAUUUCAGCAAACUGAAAGAGACUAAUGAAUCCACAGUGACUGAAUACUGAAUCAAUCACUUGAGUGACUCAUGUAAAUGUGAAUGAAUCCUCUAGUACAGUUACACAGAAAUGCAGACUCUUGGUUAAGACGGACCGAAGCUGCUCUGGUGGCUCACAGGGGACCAACACCAGACACUUCAUGUUGGUUUUUCCUUUAAUUUGUUAGCCAUCUGUGGGUCAGUGGGUGUGUGGGUGUAUGUGUUGGGGUAUGUACUGUACAUUGUAUAUAUGUAUGUGUGCAGUUCAUGGUGUAUAACCAUUUUGUACAACAUUUAAGUUACAAUCCAGUGGGGUUUUUUUUAUUGUAUUUUAACUCUAUUUAUACUUUUAGAAAAUGAAUCCAAAUGUAGAUAUUUUCUACAAAGGAAGAAAAGAAAAGAAAAAAAAGAAAUGAAAAGAAAAGAAAAGAAAAAAGGUUACACGGAAAAACAGAAAAGAACAAAAAAUCAAGAAAACAGAUAUCUUUUUACCGAGCCUUCUGCUCAGUCUGUGGAGAAAGAACAAGGCAGUGUCUCCGCCUGUCAGUGGAUUGGGACGAGGCCUGUCCGUACCCGUCUCAGCCCCAACCCCAACCCCUGCUGCACACCUGGGCCUCCGUUUCCCUUUGAGGAAGAGAUACACACAGUGGGAGGUCUGAGUGAAAAGGGAGUUCCCCCAUUCAGCCCUGACUGACACAAAGGCCCCUCCUGGUGGGAGUGGUAUCGUCCCCCUCCUCGUGUCACACUUCAAAGAGGAGACUGAGCUCCCCCUGCAUUCAUCUGAGGCUAACAGCUUAACCACCCAGUUCAAACAGUGUACCCACGCCCUGAGAAGAGAAGAACGCCAGAGCGUGCACACACACACAGGCAUAUACACACAUACAAAGAUGCACACACACAAACCCAAACAAAUACACAC